Molecule: ribosomal RNA, 252 nt
Filed under: uncultured prokaryote
Description: partial 16S ribosomal RNA
Rfam family: Bacterial small subunit ribosomal RNA
Source: RNAcentral
CGUAGGGUGCGAGCGUUAAUCGGAAUUACUGGGCGUAAAGCGUGCGCAGGCGGUUGUGUAAGUCUGACGUGAAAUCCCCGGGCUUAACCUGGGAAUGGCGUUGGAGACUGCACGGCUAGAGUGUGUCAGAGGGGGGUAGAAUUCCACGUGUAGCAGUGAAAUGCGUAGAGAUGUGGAGGAAUACCGAUGGCGAAGGCAGCCCCCUGGGAUAACACUGACGCUCAUGCACGAAAGCGUGGGGAGCAAACAGGA